UACGUAGGGUGCGAGCGUUGUCCGGAAUUAUUGGGCGUAAAGGGCUCGUAGGCGGUUUGUCACGUCGGGAGUGAAAACUCAGGGCUUAACCCUGAGCCUGCUUCCGAUACGGGCAGACUAGAGGUAUGCAGGGGAGAACGGAAUUCCUGGUGUAGCGGUGAAAUGCGCAGAUAUCAGGAGGAACACCGGUGGCGAAGGCGGUUCUCUGGGCCGAUACUGACGCUGAGGAGCGAAAGCGUGGGGAGCGAACAGG
RNAcentral lists this ribosomal RNA (253 nucleotides) under uncultured bacterium. RNAcentral's name for it is "partial 16S ribosomal RNA". It matches the Rfam family "Bacterial small subunit ribosomal RNA", at positions 524 to 776 of the family's 1533-position model. The record is from RNAcentral.